GAACGCAACUUGCGCUCUCUGGUAUUCCGGAGAGCAUGCCUGUUUGAGUGUCAUGAAAUCUCAACCAUUAGGGUUUCUUAAUGGCUUGGAUUUGGAGGUUGCCAUUCUAAAUGGCUCCUCUUAAAGGAGUUAGCAAGUUUUACUAUUGCUAUCUGGCGUAAUAAGUUUCGCUGGAAUGGUAUUGUGAAGCGUGCUUCUAAUCGUCUUCGGACAAUUACUUUGACUCUGGCCUCAAAUCAGGUAGGACUACCCGCUGAACUUA
RNAcentral lists this unclassified non-coding RNA (262 nucleotides) under Apiotrichum dulcitum. RNAcentral's name for it is "sequence contains 5.8S rRNA gene". The stretch from base 1 to 53 matches the Rfam family "5.8S ribosomal RNA", at positions 102 to 154 of the family's 154-position model. The record is from RNAcentral. Lineage: Eukaryota; Fungi; Basidiomycota; Tremellomycetes; Trichosporonales; Trichosporonaceae.